Long non-coding RNA from Pyrus x bretschneideri (Chinese white pear), 1501 nucleotides. RefSeq lists it as uncharacterized. The transcript is spliced from 3 exons. The record is from RefSeq and is a predicted model, not a curated record. NCBI's taxonomy places the organism in Eukaryota, Viridiplantae, Streptophyta, Magnoliopsida, Rosales, Rosaceae.
GAUCCCACAUCGACUACACUUAUGGGGGUGUAGGGGUUCUGAAGUUCUUGGGGUCCUCCCACUUAUUGAACUAGUCUUUUUGGUUGGGCUCUUCCCUUGGACUUGAGUACCUAACAUUGGUAUCAGAGCUUAAGUUCCCGACGCGGCGGAGGGGGCCACCUGGAAAUGGCUACCUUAACGGGACGACCAAAGGGUGUGCCACCGUUAAGAGUGAAAGCCACCAAAGUAAGGGCCAUCGUAGGCGUUGGCUUCCGAAGGGUGGUGUAAUGUUAUGACCCCACAUCGACUACACUUAUGGGGGUGUAGGGGUUCUUAAGUUCUUGGGGUCCUCCCACCUAUUAGACUAGUCUUUGGGGUUGGGCUCUUCUCUUGGCCUUGAGUACCUAACAAAAUUUCAAAUCUGACGAUUUAUUUCUUUGAUUUUGUUUCCAGAUCGUUAAAUUAUUACUGGAUUUUCAUCAAUUCGUUGUUUUGGGUUUGAAAACUGUGAAAAUUUGGAAUUUUUACAUCAAAGAUGGUCCUUUUUGUAGAUAAUAUUAGUUUUCUUGAAUUUUGUGGUUUUGGGUGUUUUGAUUUGGGUUGAAUUUCAUAAAUCAGUAGUGGCUAAGUGGUUCGUUGCCGGUACGGAUGGCGUCGGGACGAAGCUUAAGCUUGCUUUCGAAUCUGGAAUUCACGACACCAUUGGUAUUGAUUUGGUAAUGCUAAUUUUGUUCGAAUGAAUUGUCAUGUGGUACACAAUGUGUCGUUGAAAACUGCUGCUCUAAAUCAGUUUCGAUUCUUAGGUUGUUAUAAGUGUCAAUGAUAUUGUUACUUCUGGUGCUAAGCCGUUAUUUUUCCUUGAUUACUAUGCUACAAGCCGGCUCGAUGUUGAUCUUGCUGAAAAGGUUGUAAAAGGUAUUGUCGAUGGUUGCAAACAAUCUGACUCUGUUCUUUUAGGUGGAGAGUUCUUGGUUUUCUUACAUGUUAUUUGUUCGGGAAGAUCAAAGUGUUUGAUCACAGAGGCCAUUUCGCAAAGCUCUGCAUUAUAUUUCUUCCAUUACUAUGUGCUGCUCUCGUCGGAAUCUCUCGUGUGAUGAUUACUGAGUCAUUGGCAGGAUGUCUUCGCCGGAGGUUUUGUAGGAAUUGUCACAACUUCGAUUUGUUACUAGCAGUCCUUACCUCUCUUAAACCAGCUGGAUGGGUGGGCACCUCAAGUAUAUUUUCCACAUGCUGGGUGCAUAGAGGAAUGUUGGCGUGCCCUUAUCUUUGACCACGAGGUUAAGCUCUCUUCGCAUGCGAUAUGCGAAGAACAGAUAUUGAGAGUCCAGACUCGAGUGCACCAGUCCACUAGUUACUGGAAGAAGGGAGAAGAUCCUGAGUUGAGUUUGUAUGCCAAAGAGAAAUCAUAUAAAACGUACAUAUACAUUUUGUAUACACAACGUAGUACUUCAUUCGAUGACCCCAUAUCAUAUGUGUAGCUCCUAACAUCAUUCUUUAUUAAAUGAAAAUUUUAUAAUUUUAC